GCCUUUGUGGUGUAGUGGUCAGCACGCUCGAUGUGAAUUCGAGAGGUCUGUGGUUCGAGUCCCGGUGAGGGCA
Molecule: transfer RNA, 73 nt
Filed under: Stegodyphus dumicola
Lineage: Eukaryota; Metazoa; Arthropoda; Arachnida; Araneae; Eresidae
Description: tRNA-Ser
Rfam family: tRNA
About the family: Transfer RNA (tRNA) molecules are approximately 80 nucleotides in length.
Source: RNAcentral